GAUCAUGGCUCAGAUUGAACGCUGGCGGCAGGCCUAACACAUGCAAGUCGAGCGGCAUCGGGAAGGUAGCUUGCUAUCUUUGCCGGCGAGCGGCGGACGGGUGAGUAAAGUCUGGGGAUCUGCCUGAUGGAGGGGGAUAACUACUGGAAACGGUAGCUAAUACCGCAUGAUGUUACGCGACCAAAGCGGGGGACCUCCGGGCCUCGCGCCAUCAGAUGAACCCAGAUGGGAUUAGCUAGUAGGAGAGGUAAUGGCUCCCCUAGGCGACGAUCCCUAGCUGGUCUGAGAGGAUAACCAGCCACACUGGAACUGAGAGACGGUCCAGACUCCUACGGGAGGCAGCAGUGGGGAAUAUUGCACAAUGGGCGCAAGCCUGAUGCAGCCAUGCCGCG
This 392-nucleotide ribosomal RNA is filed under the name symbiont type-X of Acyrthosiphon pisum. RNAcentral describes it as "bacterial SSU rRNA". It matches the Rfam family "Bacterial small subunit ribosomal RNA", at positions 15 to 401 of the family's 1533-position model. Lineage: Bacteria; Pseudomonadati; Pseudomonadota; Gammaproteobacteria; Enterobacterales; Enterobacteriaceae. The record is from RNAcentral.